This is a long non-coding RNA of Oreochromis niloticus (Nile tilapia), 803 nucleotides long. RefSeq lists it as uncharacterized. The transcript has 3 exons. NCBI's taxonomy places the organism in Eukaryota, Metazoa, Chordata, Actinopteri, Cichliformes, Cichlidae. The record is from RefSeq and is a predicted model, not a curated record.
CACUGACCACUCCUUCAAUGAAGACAGUAAUGAGAUCAUCUGCACACUCCACAGAGCUCCAGAGUUACUGUUCAUAGCAAAAGUGUAAUGCUGUCCUUGGAGAUUUUCACCUAAGACUGUGAGUGUGAGUGUGUAAUGGAUUUCAAAGUGUUUAAGUGUUCAGAGCACUCUACAGCCUGGUAAGGUGGCAAGUUUGAAAAGAGCAGCAGAAGGUAUCAGUACUGUAGUGUAACUUGUUCUUUUCCUUUCCUAACAGUGAACAGAGUGCCGAUUAUUAUCGACAGCUACGUCCACCCGGGGUGAAAGUAGUGUGGGAGACCAUCAGGACCCAGCUGGGUUUCCUUGGUCCAGAGGUUUGGAGAAACCUCUUCCUUUUCUUUCAUCACAGCUGUCCUGUGCCAGAUGUUCUGUUGACCCACUGAGAGAGGCGUGUUUGAGAAAGAUCAGGAAGACUGAAGCUCAUGGUAGGAAUGAAGGAGGACCUUGUGAGCUCCACCAGCAGCUCCCUCACAAGGAACUGUUCACAAGUCCACUGCAGGCACGCCCCAGAAGAUGGAUAAAGGCAGCGUUUCAUGAAGACACUGGAACCAAUCUAUCUUCAUAACAGCAGGAUAAAGACAUGGUGAUAAAUGAGUGUGUGGGCCGUCUGCUGAGGACCAGGAGCUCAGGACACUCAGACGGGGGCGUCGCAGCAGGAGUCACCGCGCACCACAAUCCUCUGCUGUUCGGAGAUGUCACACUCCUGCCUGCACAUAGAAACCACAGUGAAGUCAAAGUUCCACCUGCACCUCCACCUGUUCUUG